AGGUUUACCCUAGCUUUCGACCUUUCUUAUUCGUGAAUUUCAGGUACUCUGCCCUAGUGAAAAACGCAGGUCUACCUUUAUCUCUUCAUCACUCAAAAUCAGUAUUUUGUCAAAGUAAAGAUUGCAAAUUUGUUUGUUGGUGAAGCAGGUGCACCCUGGCUUUCGACCUUGCUCAUUCUGAAUCCCAAGUACUCUGCCCUAGUAAAAACGCAGUUUUGCCACCCAUUCUUCAUCUCUCAAAAUCAGUAUUUUGUCAAAGCAAGGAUUGCAAAUUUGUUUAUUGGUGAAU
RNAcentral lists this long non-coding RNA (289 nucleotides) under Nicotiana benthamiana. Its description in RNAcentral is "long non-coding RNA (NBEN_LNC001662)". Lineage: Eukaryota; Viridiplantae; Streptophyta; Magnoliopsida; Solanales; Solanaceae. The record is from RNAcentral.